RNAcentral lists this ribosomal RNA (251 nucleotides) under uncultured prokaryote. Its description in RNAcentral is "partial 16S rRNA". It matches the Rfam family "Bacterial small subunit ribosomal RNA", at positions 525 to 775 of the family's 1533-position model. The record is from RNAcentral.
ACGUAGGUGGCGAGCGUUGUCCGGAAUUAUUGGGCGUAAAGGGCGUGUAGGCGGGUGUCUAAGUCAUCUUUGAAAGUGCCGGGCUUAACUCGGGGGUGGGAUUUGAAACUGGGUGGCUAGAGUGCAGGAGAGGGAAGCGGAAUUCCUAGUGUAGCGGUGAAAUGCGUAGAUAUUAGGAGGAACACCAGUGGCGAAGGCGGCUUUCUGGACUGUAACUGACACUGAGGCGCGAAAGCGUGGGGAGCAAACAG